GCCCCCUUAGCUCAGGGGAUAGAGCAACGGCCUCCGGAGCCGUGUGCGCAGGUUCGAAUCCUGCAGGGGGCACCG
RNAcentral lists this transfer RNA (75 nucleotides) under Actinomadura craniellae. RNAcentral's name for it is "Actinomadura sp. LHW63021 tRNA-Arg". It matches the Rfam family "tRNA". Rfam says of the family: Transfer RNA (tRNA) molecules are approximately 80 nucleotides in length. Lineage: Bacteria; Bacillati; Actinomycetota; Actinomycetes; Streptosporangiales; Thermomonosporaceae. RNAcentral also lists the same sequence under 1 other name. The record is from RNAcentral.